Molecule: transfer RNA, 91 nt
Filed under: Dysgonamonadaceae bacterium
Lineage: Bacteria; Pseudomonadati; Bacteroidota; Bacteroidia; Bacteroidales; Dysgonomonadaceae
Description: tRNA-Ser
Rfam family: tRNA
About the family: Transfer RNA (tRNA) molecules are approximately 80 nucleotides in length.
Source: RNAcentral
GGAAAGGUGCUCGAGUGGUUGAAGAGGCACGCCUGGAAAGCGUGUAUACUCCUAAAGGGUAUCACGGGUUCGAAUCCCGUUCUUUCCGCCA